RNAcentral lists this ribosomal RNA (371 nucleotides) under uncultured bacterium. RNAcentral's name for it is "bacterial SSU rRNA". It matches the Rfam family "Bacterial small subunit ribosomal RNA", at positions 30 to 408 of the family's 1533-position model. The record is from RNAcentral.
AUUGAACGCUGGCGGCAUGCCUUACACAUGCAAGUCGAACGGUAGAGUAGCAAUACUUGAGAGUGGCGAACGGGUGAGUAAUAUAUCGGAACGUGCCCAGUCGUGGGGGGAUAACGUAGCGAAAGCUACGCUAAUACCGCAUACGAUCUACGGAUGAAAGCGGGGGAUCGCAAGACCUCGCGCGAUUGGAGCGGCCGAUAUCAGAUUAGGUAGUUGGUGAGGUAAAGGCUCACCAAGCCGACGAUCUGUAGCUGGUCUGAGAGGACGACCAGCCACACUGGGACUGAGACACGGCCCAGACUCUACGGGAGGCAGCAGUGGGGAAUAUUGGACAAUGGGCGAAGCCUGAUCCAGCAAUGCCGCGUGAGUGA